GGGAGCAGAGAAUUCUCUAGAGUGGGGUUUACUUUAUAUUUGGUUAUAUCUCUUUUCUUAUUGAAAUAUAGAACAGAGUAAGGAAAGACGAUUGUAAAAAGGAAAAAAUACCAUCAAUCCUCCCAUUCUUGCCCGUUCUUAAAAAAAAUAUUUAUUUACUUAUUUUUAAAGUGUAAUUAACCAGGGAGGGAGAUGCAAGUCAAUUACUUUUUGAGUGAUUGAAUGCCCAUGAUCUGGGUCAGGAGGAUGUCUGUUCAAGAGACACCUCCGCAUGUGUGUAAUUUGUUUCUUCACUCCUGCAACGGUUUGCCUUAUGGUUUCUGGGCAGUGAGAGGUGGGUAGGGAUUGGCCUCUGUUGCUGCUGCGUCCCCCGCACAGCAUCUGAUCAAUGCCUUGACUACCACAGGAGCCCAGGAAGCGAUGAAGUUGCGCUCAGUGACCUGAUGGACUCUCCUCAGGUAUUUCAUACGGCUUUCAAACUGGCUUGAAUCAAACAACCAAAUGCCUUUGGCAGUGGCCAGUUUGAUAAUGCAAUAGCUCUCCUUCCCACCCUGUUCUACAACUCUCAUCCUUCACUCCUGGUCCUUGGACUCACACCUGGCAACAAAGUACUCCCAUGAGAAAAGGAACCCACACUGAGGCCUGUCGGUACCAAGAGUGGUCCCAGAAAGCAGCCCUCAGGAUGGAGUUUUGGAACCAGACCACUCACCAGUCAGAUGGCAACAACAACCCCACAGCUGUGUUGGAAAGAGGGCAUGUGGGAUUUUAGUUCCCCAACCAGGAAUGGAACUAUGCCCCCUGCAUUGGAAGCAUGGAGUCUUAACCACUGGACUGCCACUGAAGUUCUGGCUCUUUUAUCAAAAGUACAAGGCCAUAUUUGACACCAAGAUACGGAGGAUACUUCAGAGAUGCAUUGCUUUUGCAUCUUCCAGAAGCAAGAGAAUCUUCCAGAGUCACUGCUGAUAAGGGAUCACUUUGAUAUCCUUUUAGGAGUCUCCAUCUUAAUACAGGAAUCUCAGAAUCAGCUGCCCUAUCCUACAGCUGGUUCAGAGCAUAGAUUCACCAACACAGAGCUUACAGUGGCGCUUCCCCUCAGAGCUUCUCUAACUUUUGUUAAACUAUUUGCCCAGGACUGUUUUACCCAGUUCCCUAUUUUGAUUUUACCCAAUGAUAUUAUUUAUGUGCAUGUAUAUACAUAUGUGUAAAUGCUUGGGGAUUUUCCUUUAACUCUUAUGAAAGUAGUGCAUUAAAAUAGUUAUUUCAUGGAAUAGCUAAUUGUUUAGUGAGCAAAAGUCUGACAUGCUGCCAGAAAUGAGACUCUCAACUAACUUUUCUAUUAUUCAAAAUUCCAAGUAUGCCUACACAAAAUAAGAACAAUAUGAUGAAAUCCUACAUACCAUCACCCAUAUUUACUUACUGCAAUUUUUCCAUCGAUCCCCCCUUUACUUCUUUCUUUUUAUGAUUUUGUGAGGUCACUUUUAAAACUUAAUCACAGACUGGGCCGGGAGCUCCAGCUGCGCGGGCUCUCCGCGGCCGCGGCGACAGCAUCCUCCUCCGCCUCCUCUCUUUCUUUUCUUCCCCUCCGCUUCUUUUUCUUUCUCCUUCUCCUCCUUCUUUCCCUGCCCUGUCCCACCCCCACCCACCUCCCUGCUCCUUCUCCAGAGGACCUUAGGUCCUCAAGUCCCUGAGCGGUGGCAGCGGCGACUUGCGGGUGCAUCGUUUCUGCGCCCAGAUGUGCUUCACUUUGAUCUCAGUUUUAGGAAGUCGUUGCAAUUCAGUGGAGCCAAAUGUGAUUUUAUUGAUCUGAUCCAACCUGUCUUAUGACUGCUGGCUGGAAUUAAGAUCCUUCAGAUUGUUGUCUCUAAUCGAGGAAACAUUGAUUGGAAACUACUCAUUCAGAAAAUUAAAAGAAAGAAACCAGAACAUAUUAUCAACCUUUUGAGAACACAAUAUAACGAACUUUACCAUAAAAAUAAAUAAAUAAAUAAAAUAAAACUUAAACACAUUUGUUUUGAAGAGAAACUUGCAUUGACUCCAUGGAAUAGAAAACCAUGAUCUCUUGCCAGUAAUAGAAUGUAACUAUGAUAAUAAAAUGAAAAUCAACAUUAUUAAAAAUUAAGAAAUAAACAAUAAGAUAUAAAAUUAAUAAUGAAUUUAUUUAUACAAAUACAUACCUGGACGUUUUCCACCAAGGGUAAAGAAACAACUUGUGAUCAAUCAGUAAUGAAGAUAUAUCAGACUCAUUGCUCUUCAUUUAAAAUGAGGAUUAGUUUGUACAAUAAUAAAAUCAUUCUGUCUUCUGGUGUUGAUAGCACCAAGAAUCCCAAUUCCUAACACAUAUCUGCAAUUGGAAAGGAUGGGCAAAACAUACUUAACCAUUUUCUAGAUUUCAGUUAUACACAUUUAUACCUUUAGUAUAGUAUAAUCUUCCUCCAGGUGAGCUGCUGGCUCUGGCACAUCACUUGUGCUUUCCCUUCUCUGUCUUUGCUGAUGCCCUCCCCCUCCAUCGCCACCGUUCCUCAUCAGCAGGGCCCUGCUCUCAGGCCUCCCCUGUGACACCAGCUCAGACCCCUACAGCUCUCCCACUCUCCCUCCCUUCUGAACUCCUGGAUCUCUGCCUGUACCUCUCCUGGGCACUGAUCCUUCCUACCCAGCACUUGGCUGCCUAAGCACAAAUGUUACCCUCCUGCCCAGGCCGGGGCACCUUGGGACACGGCUGUGGAAAUCCCAGGGCAUGAACACAGCAAACAGAGGAGAGUCCCUGAGGUUACUGACUAAUCUAGCGUUGUUCAAAGUGUGUUCUUUGGAAACCAAAUCCCAUAGACAUGCUUUACUAGAUAGUGUUCCCUGGUCAAAAUAGUUUGGGAAGUCCUGCAUACUAUACUCCCCUCUGGGCUUCUCUGGUAGCUCAGCUGGUAAAGAAUCCAUGUGCAAUGCAGGAGACCUGGGUUUGAUCCUUGAGUUGGGAAGAUCCCCUGGAAAAGGGCAUGGCAAUCCACUCCAGUAUUCUUGCCUGGAGAACCCCAUGGACAGAGCAGCCUGACAGGCUACACACCAUGGGGUCGCAAAGAGUUGGACAUGACUGAAUGACUAAGCACAUACCUACUUUGUAGGUAUAAACAAUUGUCAGCUUCCAAAGCGCUGGUUGUUAUACCACUGAAAAUAACAGAAUUACUGAAGGUUUGAAACUCUUACAGGCCGCUUGUGUAACAUGGUGUAUUGGAGAUCCACCCCAAGGUUCAGCGAUUUGCAGGAAGUCUCAGAGAACUUAUCAUAUAGCCAUACUCAUAUAGCUGUGCUUUACCAGUGAAAGGAUGCAAGACAAAAAUCAGUAAAGGGAAAAGGUACAUGAGGUCAAAGUCCAGAGAAAAACAGGAAAAACUUCCCAGGGUCCUCUCCCAGUGAAGUCACAGAGGACACACUUAACUCUUCCAGCAACAAGUUGUAACAACACAGUGAAGUAUCGUCUAUCAGAGAUCAAUGCCCAAGGUUUCCAGUGGAGGUUGGUCAUACCCUGUCUAGCAUGUACCUAAAUUUCAGAUUCCCAGAAGGAAAGCAGGUUUUUCAAAAUACCUAAAAUGUGGAAGGAAACCACGUGUCCAUUAACAGAUGAAGGGAUAAGAAAAAUGUGUUACAUACAUACAAUGGAAUAUUAUUCAUCCUGAAAAAGAAGGAAAUUCCAUAACAUGCUACAACAUGGAAGAAACUUGAGGACUAUGCUAAGUUAAAUAAGACAGUCAUAAACAGAAAAAUGCUAUAAUGGUUACACUUACAUGAAGCACUUAGAGAAGUCAAAAUCAUAAAGACAGAAAAUGUAUUGGUGGUUGCUAGGAGCUAGCAAGAGAGGGGAAUUGAGAGAUAUUGUUUAAUGAGUAUUGUUUCAGUUUCACAAGAGGAAAAGAGUUAUGGUGAUGACUGGUAGGAUAACAACAUGAAGGUAAAUUAAUGCCACUG
Long non-coding RNA from Dama dama (fallow deer), 3954 nucleotides. RefSeq lists it as uncharacterized. Lineage: Eukaryota; Metazoa; Chordata; Mammalia; Artiodactyla; Cervidae. The transcript has 3 exons. The record is from RefSeq and is a predicted model, not a curated record.